AUCCAGUUGACGAGUCCUAAAUAGGACCAAACCCACUUCAUGGAU
Non-coding RNA from Schistosoma mattheei, 45 nucleotides. The record is from Rfam. NCBI's taxonomy places the organism in Eukaryota, Metazoa, Platyhelminthes, Trematoda, Strigeidida, Schistosomatidae.